AUGCUCGCUUUGGCAGCACAUAUACUAAAAUUGAGAUGAUAUAGAGAAGAUUGCCAUGGCCCCAGCACAAGGAUGACAUGCAAAUUUGCGAAGUGUUCCAUAUCAAA
Molecule: small nuclear RNA, 107 nt
Filed under: Catagonus wagneri (Chacoan peccary)
Lineage: Eukaryota; Metazoa; Chordata; Mammalia; Artiodactyla; Tayassuidae
Source: RNAcentral